UACGGGGGGGGGCAAGCGUUGUUCGGAAUUACUGGGCGUAAAGGGCUCGUAGGCGGCCAACUAAGUCGGAUGUGAAAUCCCCCAGGCUCAACCUGGGGAACUGCAUCCGAUACUGGAUGGCUUGAAUUCGGGAGAGGGAUGCAGAAUUCCAGGUGUAGCGGUGAAAUGCGUAGAUAUCUGGAGGAAUACCGGUGGCGAAGGCGGCAUCCUGGACCGACAUUGACGCUGAGGAGCGAAAGCCAGGGGAGCAAACGGG
This 256-nucleotide ribosomal RNA is filed under the name uncultured bacterium. RNAcentral's name for it is "partial 16S ribosomal RNA". It matches the Rfam family "Bacterial small subunit ribosomal RNA", at positions 524 to 776 of the family's 1533-position model. The record is from RNAcentral.